UACGUAGGUGGCAAGCGUUGUCCGGAAUCACUGGGCGUAAAGCGCGCGCAGGCGGCGAUCUACGUCUGGGGUGAAAGCCCGGGGCUCAACUCCGGGACUGCCUUGGAUACGGGAUCGCUUGAGAAUUGGAGAGGCAAGGGGAAUUCCACGUGUAGCGGUGAAAUGCGUAGAUAUGUGGAGGAACACCUGUGGCGAAGGCGCCUUGCUGGCCAAUUUCUGACGCUGAGGCGCGAAAGCGUGGGGAGCAAACAGG
RNAcentral lists this ribosomal RNA (253 nucleotides) under uncultured bacterium. RNAcentral describes it as "partial 16S ribosomal RNA". It matches the Rfam family "Bacterial small subunit ribosomal RNA", at positions 524 to 776 of the family's 1533-position model. The record is from RNAcentral.